Cavia porcellus (domestic guinea pig) is the source of this 1571-nucleotide long non-coding RNA. RefSeq lists it as uncharacterized. The record is from RefSeq and is a predicted model, not a curated record. NCBI's taxonomy places the organism in Eukaryota, Metazoa, Chordata, Mammalia, Rodentia, Caviidae. The transcript is spliced from 2 exons.
GGAAGCUGGCAAGAAACUAGGGCAGAGGGCCGGACUGGCAGGUCUUUUUUUGCUAGCAGAUUUUGAGACUGCCAAGGGUAUGACUGUGUCCUUCCUCCUACUUUUGCAAUCUCUGGCAAAAGCAAUUCCCUCCACCCAGCACUGGCUCUGGCCCUCUCUCUGUUGCUUCCUGUUACUAGGGCAGGUCCCGCACACAGGAUUCACAGCUGCCUCUCCCAGAUGAAUAGCCAGGGGGACCACACACAUUUCCCUGGUAAUGAGAGACUGUUUUCAGGAGCGGGAGAGCCGCUCCCCAUCCCUUCCUCCCAGGCUGGAGCAGGAGCAGCCAUGUGUGCGGCACAGACGAGCUGCAGCUUCGUGUCUCGCUGUGGGGAAGCUCGGAAGAGGCAGAACUGACCUCUGUCCUUCACCUGAAACAAGCACUGGGGUCUUUUCCACAGACGUGCUAGCUGCUGGUGGCGAGGCUGGUGCUGUGCGAAGCGCUGCUCCCUUCUCCCGGGAACUGUGCAGCCCACAGGGCAACUCUGCACAGCACCCUUCUUGGCUGGGAAAUGGAGGAGCAGCUGGAAUCGGUCCCGAGACAAAUGAGAGAGAAGCCACAGUACUUAGAGGACAGCUUACCUUCUUGGAGGUGCUGAACACACGCCCCUUCCUCUUCAGGAAUGACAUUAGAUUGGACAGAUUCAUAGACUGAAAAACAACAAAGGAUUUCACCUGAGUAUGAAAAAUUAACAACAAAAAUAUCAACUUCCUUAUCUUCAAACUGGAGAAAACACAGUGUGUAUCUUCAGUGCUUAAGACUGAGGUGGGAGCAAGGGGAGAGCAAGGGGUACAGCUGCCCGCCCCCCACAGUGAGGGUUAUACAUUACCACACACAUGUAGUGACAACACCGAAGAGUAAAGAUUCACAAUGAACUGGAUGGUUUUGAGACUCUAGAGAUUUCAUUAUGGAGAGACUACUUUAAAAAACCAUUAAGGAGAGCACUGUUUUCAUCUAAGAUGUCUAAGGUGAAACCUGCAGGGCCCCUGAUCCUGAAAAUCUUUGAGGUGAACACACCUGGGGAGAGCAGUGUGCCAUGCAGGGACUGCGUGUCAUGGCUCCCGGGCUGACAGAAAAGCAAAGAGCCCGGGUCCGGCAGGGCCAGCAGAUAGGGGCGACCUCAGGCCACCGACUCCGUCCUGCAGGUGCAGAGCCACAGACAGACUUAGCACCCUGCACUGCGAUCAGCCGGCCACUGGAGUGAGAGGGUCCCCUCACUGCCUUUUUGCCCUCAACGACAACCUGGAAAUGGGUUAGAAUGGAUGCCGAUGCUGAGGAGAGGAGGAGGACAGCGUGAGAGGACAGUUCAGGGAGAGGGAGCAGAAGAGGCUGAAGGAGAGGGUCCGGUGUGGAGAAGAGUUUUCAAUGGGAAAUUGAGAGAGACAGAGUCACAAGAAUGCUCGAAAAUUCAAAGUGGAAAAGAUUUAGAUCUUGUAGGCUCAUUACCUAGCCAAACACUUUCAUUUCUUUAUUUUUGCCUUGUUGUUUCAUUAUCGAUAAUAAAUAUACUAGAGGAUGUGCUGUAAAUAUA